AACACCGCUGCAUGAAGCAGCCCCAGGGCAAAAGUUGUACUUUCUGCUGAAUAAUACACUGCAUGGAAUGACUUGGUGCUCAUGGAUCAGAGGAUUUACAGCUGAUGUCCUGACUUCUGCCCACAAGUUCCACCUUGGAAACCGCAUUACGCUUGGAUGGGGACACUUACCGCAGAGACGGCUAAUUCCAUCCCCAAGGAGACCCAGCUGAUAACCAGAGCCACUACGCCGAACAAGCACACCCUGGGGAGACCGAGAGGAGGUUUGAAGUGGCAGGAUCAUUUUUCCCUUCAUAUCUCCUGUGGCCGUGACCUCGUGAUUCGACUCACCCUAUAAGCGUUCCCUUGGAGUUGCGAAUGAGGCCAAACAGCACCAGGAGGCAGAUGAGGACGUCGAACAGUAGCAGGCUUAUGUAGCCCAGCCACCUGUGAAGACAAAUGUCAUUAACAACGCAUGGC
Pleuronectes platessa (European plaice) is the source of this 458-nucleotide long non-coding RNA. RefSeq lists it as uncharacterized. Lineage: Eukaryota; Metazoa; Chordata; Actinopteri; Pleuronectiformes; Pleuronectidae. The record is from RefSeq and is a predicted model, not a curated record. The transcript is spliced from 3 exons.